UGAAACUCGUAUAUAAUGCCAUAGAAGGCAUCGUCGGACAAAAACCAUCGGAGAAAAGCUGGAAACAGACCCAAGUGAAGCUUCAGUGACCGUCUUUCAUGGCGGGAGCUGCUGGGCUUCAAGCUUUAGAGAGAAAACAACGAUACAAGGACUCCAUGGCUACUAGAGGUCGAGAGAAGUGAGGGAUGAGUAGGGGCGGAGAGGCGAUGAUCUUCAUCGGAGAAGAAGGGAACAAAAAGUCCUAGAGAGAAGGGAGAGCACUUGUUACAGAGAUAGAGA
RNAcentral lists this long non-coding RNA (279 nucleotides) under Nicotiana benthamiana. Its description in RNAcentral is "long non-coding RNA (NBEN_LNC007165)". Lineage: Eukaryota; Viridiplantae; Streptophyta; Magnoliopsida; Solanales; Solanaceae. The record is from RNAcentral.